GCGAAAUGACGAUAGAAUUCAUUGGUCUGUCAAUCCACUGAUAAUCUUUGAUGUGAAACAAUGAAUCCCGACAGGAUCUGAUCGC
Molecule: small nucleolar RNA, 85 nt
Filed under: Daucus carota subsp. sativus
Lineage: Eukaryota; Viridiplantae; Streptophyta; Magnoliopsida; Apiales; Apiaceae
Description: sRNA DCAR_sn00188
Rfam family: Small nucleolar RNA snoR14
Source: Rfam by way of RNAcentral